Molecule: transfer RNA, 69 nt
Filed under: Ictidomys tridecemlineatus (thirteen-lined ground squirrel)
Lineage: Eukaryota; Metazoa; Chordata; Mammalia; Rodentia; Sciuridae
Description: Spermophilus tridecemlineatus (thirteen-lined ground squirrel) tRNA
Rfam family: tRNA
About the family: Transfer RNA (tRNA) molecules are approximately 80 nucleotides in length. Their secondary structure includes four short double-helical elements and three loops (D, anti-codon, and T loops).
Source: Rfam by way of RNAcentral
GGGGUUGUGGCUCAGUGGUAGAGCACUCGCCCGACAUGUGUGAGGCAUUGGGUUCAAUCCUCAGCACCA